UGUGGUCUUUGGGAAGUGAUGACAUCAUGAAGGCAGAGCCUUAUAAAAGGGCAAGGCUGAAGGGAGCACUCUAUCUUGUCCCUCCCUCCCUUCUGCCAUUUGAAGAAGCCGGGCAGUGCCAUCUGUGAGGAAUGAGCCUUCUCCUGACACUGAACCUGCUGGUGCCUUGAUCAUAGACUUCCCAGCCUCUAGAACUGGAUAUAAUACUCGUCAAAAACUCCAUCGUAUUAUGAGAAUCGGCACCAAGUUGAUCUGAAAUGCAUAUUUGAACAGAUGUGUUUAAAUUACAUCUCCGUCUAUCCACAUGCAUAAAUUCAGAGCAAGCGUGUGUUGAUUUAAAAUGCAUAAAAAAAGGGAUUUGGAGACGCAUCAAAAGUGAACAGCAUCUCAAUGGAUCAAGGCUCACAUUACGAAAGGGAAAGGAAGAGACACCAGAGCUCUCUCUCCCCAUGUCACACACAGAGGAAAGGCCCAGUGGAGGACACAGGAAGAAGGCAGCCAUCUGCAAACCAGGAACAGAGACCUGACCAGAAACAGAAUCUGCUGGCACCUGAUCUGGGACUUGCAGCCUCUAAAAUGGUGAGAAA
Molecule: long non-coding RNA, 587 nt
Filed under: Homo sapiens (human)
Lineage: Eukaryota; Metazoa; Chordata; Mammalia; Primates; Hominidae
Description: HSALNT0102328
Source: RNAcentral